AACGCGAAGAACCUUACCUGGGCUCGAAAUGUAGUGGACUGGGGUAGAAAUAUCCCUUCCUAGCAAUAGGCUGCUAUAUAGGUGCUGCAUGGCUGUCGUCAGCUCGUGUCGUGAGAUGUUGGGUUAAGUCCCGCAACGAGCGCAACCCUUAUUACCAGUUGCCAUCAUUCAGUUGGGCACUCUGGUGAGACCGCCUCGGAUAACGGGGAGGAAGGCGGGGAUGACGUCAAGUCCUCAUGGCCUUUAUGUCCAGGGCUACACACGUGCUACAAUGGCCGGUACAAACCGUCGCAAACCCGUGAGGGGGAGCUAAUCGGAAAAAACCGUUCUCAGUUCGGAUCGCAGGCUGCAACUCGCCUGCGUGAAGCUGGAAUCGCUAGUAAUGGUGUAUCAGAAUGAUACCGUGAAUACGUUCCCGGGCCUUGUACACACCGAGACUA
RNAcentral lists this ribosomal RNA (440 nucleotides) under uncultured bacterium. RNAcentral describes it as "bacterial SSU rRNA". It matches the Rfam family "Bacterial small subunit ribosomal RNA", at positions 958 to 1398 of the family's 1533-position model. The record is from RNAcentral.